Molecule: long non-coding RNA, 578 nt
Filed under: Homo sapiens (human)
Lineage: Eukaryota; Metazoa; Chordata; Mammalia; Primates; Hominidae
Description: non-protein coding lnc-SEL1L3-2:2
Source: RNAcentral
CUUGCCGUUUUUUGAAGGCUUAUACAAAAUAGUUUCCUGCAAACUCAAGUGGCUGGGAAGCCCAGCUGAAGGUUACUUCUACCCCAAGGCCAUGUCAGCAGAAAGUGGCCAACAGGACUUGGGCCUGAAAAAGCUCAGACUGAAUUUUAGGAGUGACAUCUGAAACUGCUGGUUUCUCACAAGGAAUAAAAGCUGUCUGGGAAGCUGGAGAGGCAGUGUGCUGUCUGGAGCAGGGACUUGCAAAUGGGAACAGUGAAGAGAGACAGCAUCUCCUUCCUCUGAAGAUUCUGUUCAGAAUGGAUAAAGGUUCAGCAUCCUCCCUGGAUGGGGCAGCUUAGCAGACCCAGAGGAAAGCACUGGGAGGAAUGAGAAAGUAGCGACUAGACAAAAAUGAAAACUCUUUAAGAAGCAUUGCUGAAGUUACAGGGGAAAAAGAUUAAGACAACUGAGGUUAAGGGCCUGACUCCAGAUCACACAGCAAGGGAGAUGGCAAAAUCAAGAUUUCAACCCAGGAAACCUGCCUCCCAUGCCUAUGUUAAUCACUACACCCUUCCCACAAUAAAUAAUCAAAUAAGCUA